RNAcentral lists this unclassified non-coding RNA (243 nucleotides) under plant metagenome. Its description in RNAcentral is "partial contains small subunit ribosomal RNA, internal transcribed spacer 1, and 5.8S ribosomal RNA". The record is from RNAcentral.
UCUCCGUUGGUGAACCAGCGGAGGGAUCAUUACCGAGUUUACAACUCCCAAACCCAAUGUGAACCAUACCAAACUGUUGCCUCGGCGGGGUCACGCCCCGGGUGCGUCGCAGCCCCGGAACCAGGCGCCCGCCGGAGGGACCAACCAAACUCUUUCUGUAGUCCCCUCGCGGACGUUAUUUUUACAGCUCUGAGCAAAAAUUCAAAAUGAAUCAAAACUUUCAACAACGGAUCUCUUGGUUCU